This 468-nucleotide ribosomal RNA is filed under the name uncultured bacterium. RNAcentral's name for it is "partial 16S ribosomal RNA". It matches the Rfam family "Bacterial small subunit ribosomal RNA", at positions 28 to 507 of the family's 1533-position model. The record is from RNAcentral.
GACGAACGCUGGCGGCGUGCUUAACACAUGCAAGUCGAACGGAAAGGCCCUGCUUUUGUGGGGUGCUCGAGUGGCGAACGGGUGAGUAACACGUGAGUAACCUGCCCUUGACUUUGGGAUAACUUCAGGAAACUGGGGCUAAUACCGGAUAGGAGCUCCUGCUGCAUGGUGGGGGUUGGAAAGUUUCGGCGGUUGGGGAUGGACUCGCGGCUUAUCAGCUUGUUGGUGGGGUAGUGGCUUACCAAGGCUUUGACGGGUAGCCGGCCUGAGAGGGUGACCGGCACCAUUGGGACUGAGAUACGGCACAGACUAGUACGGGAGGCAGCAGUGGGGAAUAUUGCACAAUGGGCGGAAGCCUGAUGCAGCAACGCCGCGUGCGGGAUGACGGCCUUCGGGUUGUAAACCGCUUUCGCCUGUGACGAAGCGUGAGUGACGGUAAUGGGUAAAGAAGCACCGGCUAACUACGUG